AGAGUUUGAUCCUAGCUCAGGAUGAACGCUGGCGGCGUGGAUAAGGCAUGCAAGUCAAGGGGGCCCGCAAGGGCAACCGGCAGACGAGGUAGUAAUAAGUAGGUACGAACCCAAAAGUCUUGAAUAGCUCGGCGAAAGCCGAGGUAAUACAAGAUGGUCUCUAAGGAGUAAAGAUUUAUCGCUUUUGGAUCGGCCUGCUCGGUAUCAGCUAGUUGGUAAGGUAAUGGCUUACCAAGGCAAUGACGCCUAGGGGACCUGAGAGGGUGACCCCCACCGAUGGGACUGAGACACGGCCCAUACACCUACGGGUGGCUGCAGUCGAGAAUCUUCCGCAAUGGACGAAAGUCUGACGGANNNNNNNNNNNNNNNNNNNNNNACCCUAAGAAUAAGAGGUUGCUAAACUCGUGCCAGCAGCAGCGGUAAUACGAGUGCCUCGAGCGUUAUCCGGAAUUAUUGGGCGUAAAGGGUGCGUAGGUGGUCAUAUUAGUCUCCUGUUAAAUUCUUCGGCUCAACCGGGGGCAUGCGGGGGAAACGGUAUGACUAGAGGAUGCGAGGGGUUUCUGGAACUCUAGGUGUAGCGGUGAAAUGCGUUGAUAUCUAGGGGAACACCAAAAGCGAAGGCAAGAAACUGGAGCAUUCCUGACACUGAGGCACGAAAGCGUGGGUAGCGAACGGGAUUAGAUACCCCGGUAGUCCACGCCCUAAACGAUGAUCACUAGCUAUUCGGAGUAUCGACCCUCUGAGUGGCGUAGCUAACGCGUUAAGUGAUCCGCCUGGGUAGUACGGCCGCAAGGCUAAAACUCAAAGGAAUAGACGGGGACUUGCACAAGCGGAGGAUCAUGUGGUUCAAUUCGACGGUAAACGAAGAACCUUACCAGGGUUAGAAAUCUAGUUGAAGACGAGCAGAAACGUUCGUCGCCGCAAGGCAAUUAGACAGGUGCUGCAUGGUCGUCGUCAGUUCGUGGUUUGAAUUGUUCCCUUCAGUGGGGUAACGAACGCAACCCUCGUUGCCUGUUACAAGUGUCAGGCGAGACUGCCCAGCUCUAAGCGCACAAAUCGAAAGAUUUGCGAAUUUGGAGCUGGGAGGAAGGUGAGGAUGACGCCAGAUCAGCAUGGCCCUUUGAUACCCUGGGCUACACACGUGAUACAAUGGCGCGUACAACGCGAUGCGACGGCGAGAGCCUGAGCCAAUCGUUAGAAAGCGCGCCCUAGUUCGGAUAGGAGUCUGCAACUCGACUCCUUGAAGUUGGAUUCGCUAGUAAUCUCGGGUCAGCUAUACCGAGGUGAAUACGUUCUCAAGUCUUGUACUCACCGCCCGUCAACUCAAGGGAGUUGGGAGUACCCGAAGUCUGCCCUCGUGGCGGCCUAAGGUAAGCUCAAUGACAGGGAGUAAGUCGUAACAAGGCACGGGUAGCGGAAGCUGCUCGUGGAU
RNAcentral lists this ribosomal RNA (1432 nucleotides) under Candidatus Taylorbacteria bacterium CG10_big_fil_rev_8_21_14_0_10_41_48. RNAcentral describes it as "bacterial SSU rRNA". It matches the Rfam family "Bacterial small subunit ribosomal RNA". Lineage: Bacteria; Candidatus Tayloriibacteriota. The record is from RNAcentral.